This 73-nucleotide transfer RNA is filed under the name Felis catus (domestic cat). It matches the Rfam family "tRNA". Rfam says of the family: Transfer RNA (tRNA) molecules are approximately 80 nucleotides in length. Their secondary structure includes four short double-helical elements and three loops (D, anti-codon, and T loops). The record is from Rfam by way of RNAcentral. Lineage: Eukaryota; Metazoa; Chordata; Mammalia; Carnivora; Felidae. RNAcentral also lists the same sequence under 2 other names.
GUCCGGCUGGCUCAGUCACAAGAGCACGUGACUCUUGAUCUUGGGGUUGUGAGUUCGAGCCCCACGCUGGGUG